GACGAACGCUGGCGGCGUGCUUAACACAUGCAAGUCGAACGGAAAGGCCCUGCUUUUGUGGGGUGCUCGAGUGGCGAACGGGUGAGUAACACGGGAGUAACCUGCCCUUGACUUUGGGAUAACUUCAGGAAACUGGGGCUAAUACCGGAUAGGAGCUCCUGCUGCGUGGUGGGGGUUGGAAAGUUUCGGCGGUUGGGGAUGGACUCGCGGCUUAUCAGCUUGUUGGUGGGGUAGUGGCUUACCAAGGCUUUGACGGGUAGCCGGCCUGAGAGGGUGACCGGCCACAUUGGGACUGAGAUACGGCCCAGACUCCUACGGGAGGCAGCAGUGGGGAAUAUUGCACAAUGGGCGGAAGCCUGAUGCAGCAACGCCGCGUGCGGGAUGACGGCCUUCGGGUUGUAAACCGCUUUCGCCUGUGACGAAGCGUGAGUGACGGUAAUGGGUAAAGAAGCACCGGCUAACUACGUG
RNAcentral lists this ribosomal RNA (468 nucleotides) under uncultured bacterium. RNAcentral's name for it is "partial 16S ribosomal RNA". It matches the Rfam family "Bacterial small subunit ribosomal RNA", at positions 28 to 507 of the family's 1533-position model. The record is from RNAcentral.